GGCAGGAUAAUUCAGCUGGUUAGAAUAGCGGAAUCAUAAUCCGAACGUCGGGGGUUCAAGUCCCUCUCCUGCUA
RNAcentral lists this transfer RNA (74 nucleotides) under Andalucia godoyi. RNAcentral describes it as "tRNA-Met". It matches the Rfam family "tRNA". From Rfam's summary of the family: Transfer RNA (tRNA) molecules are approximately 80 nucleotides in length. Lineage: Eukaryota; Jakobea; Jakobida; Andaluciidae. The record is from RNAcentral.